AGGAAGGUGGGGAUGACGUCAAAUCAUCAUGCCCCUUAUGACUUGGGCUACACACGUGCUACAAUGGCGUAAACAAAGUGAAGCGAGAGUGUGAGCUUAAGCAAAUCACAAAAAUAACGUCUCAGUUCGGAUUGUAGUCUGCAACUCGACUACAUGAAGCUGGAAUCGCUAGUAAUCGCAGAUCAGAAUGCUGCGGUGAAUACGUUCCCGGGUCUUGUACACACCGCCCGUCACACCAUGGGAGUCGGAAAUGCCCGAAGUCGGUGACCUAACGUAAGAAGGAGCCGCC
RNAcentral lists this ribosomal RNA (289 nucleotides) under unidentified low G+C gram-positive bacterium. Its description in RNAcentral is "partial small subunit ribosomal RNA". It matches the Rfam family "Bacterial small subunit ribosomal RNA", at positions 1167 to 1457 of the family's 1533-position model. The record is from RNAcentral. Lineage: Bacteria; Bacillati; Bacillota.